Molecule: long non-coding RNA, 2090 nt
Organism: Lytechinus pictus (painted urchin)
Lineage: Eukaryota; Metazoa; Echinodermata; Echinoidea; Temnopleuroida; Toxopneustidae
Exons: 3
Source: RefSeq, a predicted model, not a curated record
GGAUUUUUCCUUUAAGAUUUACUUACAAGAGUUGGACGAAGAGGGUGUAAAGUGUUUGUCUUAUCACAACAUUGAAAUGUACAUCUCAGAACAAAUAGUUCCAUUUUUGUAAAGUUAUUAUAUUGAAUAUGGACUGUUAUUAGAAAUGAAAAUUAUAUAUAAUUAUGUAAAUUGCUUGGGAUAAAGUAUACUUCCUUUUUUUAUGAAAUUAUAUUACGGAAUGGUGUUAUAACUUAGCAAAGAGGAAGGAUCUUGUGAAAGUGAUUAUGUUACGCGGGAAGAAAACCCGCUUGGUCAGUAGAGAUCGAUUGUUUUGAGGUCAUUGGUCAAGCUACUCAGUGAGGAGAGCAAUCAGUCAGAGAGUCCCGUAGGAUCCAGAUAAUUUAGAUCUCAAUCCUGUCGAGGUAUGUUGAUUGAUAUGUGCUAUUUUAUAAGAGAAGAAUAUCUAUGUUUUGGAAUAUAUUAUCUCUAAAUCAUGAACUAGAAUUAGAGCAUUGAAUCGUAAUUUUUCUGUUAGGUCAAGGAUACCUACUACGUGGCAUGUUACGUAACAAUGAAUGUGUGUAUAUAUGUAUCGGGUACCUAUCGAUUCAAGAUGGUAUCACUCUUUCCUUUUUGUCUUGGAAUUGCCGAAUUGGAGGACUAUAUUUAUGUAGUUGUAUUUCUUUAACGCUCGAUAAAUUAUUUACAUGGUGUAUUUAAAUAGACGAUGAGUAGAAUUUAUAAAUGUGAAUAAUUCGUAAACCGGGAGAUUUGGUAAAUGGUAGCCUCAAGGUUAGGCAAGGUCAAAUCGUUUCGUACUGAUGGUUUCGAUUAAUUAUCGAUUUAACUUAAUAUUUUCGCCAGUUCAGUUAUAUAUUUUAGAUUUUAAAAUGAUACGUGAUCAAUUGAUAUUAUACAAUCAUAUAUAUUAAGGAUUGGUGUAUCGUUUAUUUAUUUAGGAGUUCGAAUGUUCAUUUGUUGAUGGAACUAGCUGGAUUGUGAUGAUUUCUGGGUUUUCUACGAAGAUUGCAGUGUUGGGUACCGGAAUCUGACCCUAGAAAAUGAUUGUUUUGGUCCUUGGUAUGGUUUUUAACCUGUAUCUGCCCUAGUCGGGUGAGUCAAGAUGGCCGUACUUAUAAGAUUGAGACGUGCAGCAUUUUUUACCAAAAUUAACGGUGUUUUGUGAUCGAUUACGAAAGUUUGAAUUGUUGACAUAUAUAAAAGAUUGAUAUAUUUGGAAGAAUGUUUCCAAAGCUUGCUAUAUAAAUUGUGAAUUCAUAUAUUUUACAUUAGAAGAAAAUGAUUGCAAAAGAGAUCAAUUUAAGAUUUAGAAACAUAUAAUAAUCUAUGAUACUUGUGACUAUUUAAUUGUCGAUAGCUGAGUUAAUAACUUGUUAUAAACAUUGUUACUUUUCGCUUAUUAACGAGCGCAGACUGAAAUGUGAUUGCAGAUCUGUAAAAACAUACACACAUUACAGUGACCUGCUCAAUGAUCGAAAAGUGUACUCGUAUUAUUAAGAGUAUAUAUUCUGUCUUGACAUGUAAAUGCUUUAUUUCAUGCUGAAAUGAUAUUUUGAACAUUAUACUCAUGUUCUUUAUUGUUUCUCUCUUUUCUGCUUGCAGAGGUUUUUUUUUCCAAUUUGUUAUAUACUGAACAACUGUUGUGCUCAAGUGGGAAAUUAAAUUCCGCUCACAACCUACAACUCUCGUCGUAUCGUGUCUUGUGUUCUGGAGUGUCCUGACAACUUCCCCCAAAAAUCCAGAAUACUACAAGUGGUGUCAGAAGUGGGAUAGAACUUGAGCAUCGAUAGACGGCAACUAAGAAGCAAGAAAAGAAGAACAUCAUUAGACGGAAACCAAGAAGCAAGAAAGAAAACCUCCGACUUUGGUUGUAUGGAGUUCGAAUGUUCAUUUGUUGAUGGAACUAGCUGGAUUGUGAUGAUUUCUGGGUUUUCUACGAAGGUACGAAAAGUUAUGAAUUUUCCUUGUAAUUUAAUGACUGUGUUGUUCGAAGUGAUAUCUUAUAAUAUUAGGAUAAGAAUGAUUGGUGAAUUUGAUUUUUUUCCUUCGAGCAUUGAAGGCUUAAAUGAUAACUUUUUCAUUAGAUC